Molecule: long non-coding RNA, 216 nt
Filed under: Elaeis guineensis (African oil palm)
Lineage: Eukaryota; Viridiplantae; Streptophyta; Magnoliopsida; Arecales; Arecaceae
Description: long non-coding RNA (EGUI_LNC040091)
Source: RNAcentral
GACGAAGUCUACCUGCAAUAGGAGUUCGGAGGAGUCCGGUUCUCGUGGGAGCUCGGACGAAAUCGGAAAGGUGGUCGACCACCAUAGAAAUUUGGAUGGAGUCCAUCCAUCGUGGAGAUCUGUUGUUGGAAAAGUUCGGCCACUGACGAACUGACGAAGUUCUGGAAGAAAUUCGGAUUGGAGUUGAUCGAAUCCUGUUGGGAAAAAAAUCUGGAA